This 443-nucleotide ribosomal RNA is filed under the name uncultured bacterium. RNAcentral's name for it is "partial 16S ribosomal RNA". It matches the Rfam family "Bacterial small subunit ribosomal RNA", at positions 338 to 795 of the family's 1533-position model. The record is from RNAcentral.
CCUACGGGUGGCAGCAGUGGGGAAUAUUGGGCAAUGGAGGCAACUCUGACCCAGCAACGCCGCGUGAAUGAUGAAGGUCUUCGGUUUGUAAAGUUCUAUUCUCAGGGAAGAAGAAAGUGACGGUACCUUAGGAAUAAGCCCCGGCUAAAUACGUGCCAGCAGCCGAGGUAAUACGUAGGAGGCAAGCGUUAUCCGGAAUGACUGGGUGGAAAGGGUGCGAAGGUGGUUUGACAAGUUAGUAGCGCAACUCCGGAGCUCAACUGCGGAACUGCUACUAAAACUGUUGGACUGGAGUGCAGGAGGGGCAAUCGGAAUUCCUAGUGUAGCGGUGGAAUGCGUAGAUAUUAGGAGGAACACCAGUGGCGAAGGCGGAUUGCUAGACUGUAACUGACACUGAGGCACGAAAGCGUGGGGAGCAAACAGGAUUAGAUACCCGAGUAGUC